UGUCAGCAGCCGCGGUAAUACGUAGGUGGCGAGCGUUAUCCGGAUUUAUUGGGUUUAAAGGGAGCGUAGGCGGCUGAUUAAGUCAGCGGUGAAAGGUAGCAGCUUAACUGUUUUACAUGCCGUUGAUACUGGUUAGCUUGAGUUGACAGAAGGCAGAUAGAAUUCCUGAUGUAGCGGUGAAAUGCUUAGAUAUCAGGAGGAAUACCGAUUGCGAAGGCAGUCUGCUGCAGUCACACUGACGCUGAGGCUCGAAGGUGCGGGGAUCAAACAGGAUUAGAUACCCUGGUAGUCCGCACAGUAAACGAUGAUUACUAGAUGUUGGCGAUGCCAGUGUCCAAGGGAAACCGAUAAGUAAUCCACCUGGGGAGUACGCCGGCAACGGUGAAACUUAAAGAAAUUGGCGG
Molecule: ribosomal RNA, 404 nt
Filed under: uncultured Emticicia sp.
Lineage: Bacteria; Pseudomonadati; Bacteroidota; Cytophagia; Cytophagales; Leadbetterellaceae
Description: bacterial SSU rRNA
Rfam family: Bacterial small subunit ribosomal RNA
Source: RNAcentral